AUUGAACGCUGGCGGCAUGCUUUACACAUGCCAGUCGAGCGGUAACAGGCCUUCGGGUGCUGACGAGUGGCGAACGGGUGAGUAAUGCAUCGGAACGUACCCAGAGGUGGGGGAUAACGCAGCGAAAGCUGUGCUAAUACCGCAUGUGAUCUGAGGAUGAAAGCGGGGGACCGAGCAGCAAUGUUUGGCCUCGCGCCUUUGGAGCGGCCGAUGUCGGAUUAGCUAGUUGGUGGGGUAAAGGCUUACCAAGGCGACGAUCCGUAGCUGGUCUGAGAGGACGACCAGCCACACUGGGACUGAGACACGGCCCAGACUCCUACGGGAGGCAGCAGUGGGGAAUUUUGGACAAUGGGCGCAAGCCUGACCCAGCAAUGCCGCGUGCGGGAAGAAGGCCUUCGGGUUGUAAACCGCUUUUGGCAGGAACGAAACGGUGUCCGCUAAUACCGGGCGCUAAUGACGGUACCUGCAGAAUAAGCACCGGCUAACUACGUG
This 492-nucleotide ribosomal RNA is filed under the name uncultured bacterium. Its description in RNAcentral is "partial 16S ribosomal RNA". It matches the Rfam family "Bacterial small subunit ribosomal RNA", at positions 29 to 507 of the family's 1533-position model. The record is from RNAcentral.